GAUGAACGCUGGCGGCGUGCCUAAUACAUGCAAGUCGAGCGAACAGACGAGGAGCUUGCUCCUCUGACGUUAGCGGCGGACGGGUGAGUAACACGUGGAUAACCUACCUAUAAGACUGGGAUAACUUCGGGAAACCGGAGCUAAUACCGGAUAAUAUAUUGAACCGCAUGGUUCAAUAGUGAAAGACGGUUUUGCUGUCACUUAUAGAUGGAUCCGCGCCGCAUUAGCUAGUUGGUAAGGUAACGGCCUACCAAGGCAACGAUGCGUAGCCGACCUGAGAGGGUGAACGGCCACACUGGAACUGAGACACGGUCCAGACUCCUACGGGAGGCAGCAGUAGGGAAUCUUCCGCAAUGGGCGAAAGCCUGACGGAGCAACGCCGCGUGAGUGAUGAAGGUCUUCGGAUCGUAAAACUCUGUUAUUAGGGAAGAACAAAUGUGUAAGUAACUAUGCACGUCUUGACGGUACCUAAUCAGAAAGCCACGGCUAACUACGUG
This 497-nucleotide ribosomal RNA is filed under the name uncultured bacterium. RNAcentral describes it as "partial 16S ribosomal RNA". It matches the Rfam family "Bacterial small subunit ribosomal RNA", at positions 28 to 507 of the family's 1533-position model. The record is from RNAcentral.